Molecule: ribosomal RNA, 487 nt
Filed under: uncultured bacterium
Lineage: Bacteria
Description: bacterial SSU rRNA
Rfam family: Bacterial small subunit ribosomal RNA
Source: RNAcentral
UUGAACGCUGGCGGCAUGCCUUACACAUGCAAGUCGAACGGCAGGCACGGGGGGCAACCCUGGUGGCGAGUGGCGAACGGGUGAGUAACGCAUCGGAACGUGCCCAGGUAGUGGGGGAUAACCAGUCGAAAGACUGGCUAAUACCGCAUACGCCCUACGGGGGAAAGCAGGGGACCUUCGGGCCUUGCGCGAUUGGAUAUGCCCAGGUGGGAUUAGCUUGUUGGUGAGGUAAUGGCUCUCCAAGGCGACGAUCCCUAGCUGGUCUGAGAGGAUGAUCAGCCACACUGGAACUGAGACACGGUCCAGACUCCUACGGGAGGCAGCAGUGGGGGAAUAUUGCACAAUGGGGGAAACCCUGAUGCAGCCAUGCCGCGUGUGUGAAGAAGGCCUUCGGGUUGUAAAGCACUUUCAGCGAGGAGGAAAGGUUGAUGCCUAAUACGCAUCAGCUGUGACGUUACUCGCAGAAGAAGCACCGGCUAACUCCGUG